AAAUCAACUCCCUUUUGGGGUUAAAACGGGGGAUGGUGGGUUGACUCCCUCAUCACGAAAUCUCCGAAACUAUAACAGCUACAAACUUGAAAUUUGGCAGGUAGUUUCCUUAUAGAGCUUAGACAUCCACUAAGAAUGGAUUUUACGAAAAUCGACCCCCAAGGGGGUAAAACGGGGGUUGGAAGUUUAUAUGAAAGUCCUAUGUUUUUGAAGUAAGAGACUUGAAAU
This 228-nucleotide unclassified non-coding RNA is filed under the name Melitaea cinxia (Glanville fritillary). Its description in RNAcentral is "misc RNA ENSMCXG00005001851.1". Lineage: Eukaryota; Metazoa; Arthropoda; Insecta; Lepidoptera; Nymphalidae. The record is from RNAcentral.